CAGUAUUUCAUAGUUUCCAUUUCACUUAAUCUUUGUAACACAAUAAUCAUUUGGUUCAAACAUAAUGCAUAACCUUUAGCAUCAUCAACGAAGGGAACAUCUUGGGAGCACACUGAUAAGCUGUGGAAAUAAUAUGUUAAUUUAGAAGACUAAGCUGUGGAAAUAAUAUGUUAAUUUAGAAGACUAAGCUGUGGAAAUAAUAUGUUAAUUUAGAAGACUAAGCUGUGGAAAUAAUAUGUUAAUUUAGAAGAAUAAGCUGUGGAAAUAAUAUGUUAAUUUAGAAGAAUAAGCUGUGGAAAUAAUAUGUUAAUUUAGAAGACUAAGCUGUGGAAAUAAUAUGUUAAUUUAGAAGAAUAAGCUGUGGAAAUAAUAUGUUAAUUUAGAAGACUAAGCUAUGGAAAUAAUAUGUUAAUUUAGAAGACUAAGCUGUGGAAAUAAUAUGUUAAUUUAGAAGACUAAGCUGUGGAAAUAAUAUGUUAAUUUAGAAAUGUAUAAAAAGAGCAUGAGAUCAAAGUCAAUUAUCAGACCACUAGGGGUCAGUGUUUUUUAGAUGAGAUGUGUUGUCUAGUAUGAUACACUAAAUGCACAAAACAUUUGGAACACCUUCCUAAUAUUGAGUUGCACACCCCUUUUUCUGCCCUGUGAACCGCCUCAAUUUGUCAGGGCUUGGGACUCUACAAGGUGUCGAAAGCGUUCCACAGGGAUGCUGGCCCAUGUGGACUCUACAAGGUGUUGAAAGCCUUCCACAGGGAUGCUGGCCCAUGUUGACUCUACAAGGUGUUGAAAGCCUUCCACAGGGAUGCUGGCCCAUGUUGACUCUACAAGGUGUUGAAAGCCUUCCACAGGGAUGCUGGCCCAUGUUGACUCUACAAGGUGUUGAAAGCCUUCCACAGGGAUGCUGGCCCAUGUUGACUCUACAAGGUGUUGAAAGCCUUCCACAGGGAUGCUGGCCCAUGUUGACUCUACAAGGUGUUGAAAGCCUUCCACAGGGAUGCUGGCCCAUGUUGACUCUACAAGGUGUUGAAAGCCUUCCACAGGGAUGCUGGCCCAUGUUGACUCUACAAGGUGUUGAAAGCCUUCCACAGGGAUGCUGGCCCAUGUUGACUCUACAAGGUGUUGAAAGCCUUCCACAGGGAUGCUGGCCCAUGUUGACUCUACAAGGUGUUGAAAGCGUUCCACAGGGAUGCUGGCCCAUGUUGACUCUACAAGGUGUCGAAAGCGUUCCACAGGGAUGCUGGCCCAUGUUGACUCUACAAGGUGUCGAAAGCGUUCCACAGGGAUGCUGGCCCAUGUUGACUCUACAAGGUGUCGAAAGCGUUCCACAGGGAUGCUGGCCCAUGUUGACUCUACAAGGUGUCGAAAGCGUUCCACAGGGAUGCUGGCCCAUGUUGACUCUACAAGGUGUUGAAAGCGUUCCACAGGGAUGCUGGUCCACGUUGACUCUACA
Molecule: long non-coding RNA, 1447 nt
Organism: Oncorhynchus keta (chum salmon)
Lineage: Eukaryota; Metazoa; Chordata; Actinopteri; Salmoniformes; Salmonidae
Exons: 4
Source: RefSeq, a predicted model, not a curated record